UGGUUAAAGAGCAAACUUAAGUUUGCAUCCAA
This 32-nucleotide non-coding RNA is filed under the name Rattus norvegicus (Norway rat). The record is from RNAcentral. Lineage: Eukaryota; Metazoa; Chordata; Mammalia; Rodentia; Muridae.